This is a long non-coding RNA of Felis catus (domestic cat), 14381 nucleotides long. RefSeq lists it as uncharacterized. NCBI's taxonomy places the organism in Eukaryota, Metazoa, Chordata, Mammalia, Carnivora, Felidae. The transcript has 5 exons. The record is from RefSeq and is a predicted model, not a curated record.
CUGAUUGUUACCACACAGGGGGUGAGGUGGGGGGAUGGGUGAAAUAGGUGAUGGGGAUUAAGGAGGGCACUUGCGAUGAGCACCGGGUGUUGUUUGGAAGUGUUGAAUCACUAAUGUACACCUGGAGCUAAUAGAACACUGUACGUUAUACUGGAAUUAAAAUUAAAAACAUUAGAAGGGGGAAAAUCUGGGGAAAAAAAUAUUUACCAAAAGUUCACGGACAUCUGCUCUAGUCCCCCUGCAGUGGUUGCUCUGACGCACCACCCACUUCCCUCUUUAGCAGUGGAAAUUUAAUUCCUCAGCUGCUGGGAGUGCUGCGGAAGGGUGGUCUCAUCUGCAUUCACCGACUGGUAACACUGAGGCUUCACAGCAUGACCACCUUGCCCCAACCAGGGCAUCUCUGGGAGGCCACCCAGUUCCAGAAUUCUCCACUGGGCUCCCAGACACUAUUUUGGGGCUGCAAUGCAGCUCAUCUUCUUCCUCUGCCCAAUCUUGCCUCCCUUCCACAAGUGUUGAUCCCGGGAGCCCUCCCUGAUAAACAUCGUGCAUUCUAAUCUCACCCUCAGAGUCUGCUUCUGGGGAAUCCAGCCAGCAGCAGCUGUCAUCUCCCUCUGGAGUGUUUAAUAUGGCAGUGUCACAGAUGGAAGGUGCUGGAUCAUCACUGCUUAGAGGACAGUCACUAAGGAGCACCUCCAGACACACUUCACCCUGUGACUUCCAUUGUGUUAUGCCUGUUGGAUUUGGUGUUGUUUGUUACAGCAGCCAGCUCUACUUACUCUGACAACUGUGGUCAGCAAAGCAAGGCUGUGGGGGAUGAGAGGCGUAUGAACACAGAGAGCACAGAUGACACGCUUUCUCAAAGUCACUCUGGAGCAGGUGCCGUCUAAGAGGGUUGGAAGGUCAAGUCAUGUCCAUAACAUAUUGUUCUCUUUUGGUCUCUCUUUUCUCCCUCUCGCCAACCACAUCUAGUGGAAUUCUUCUAGAUUAAAUGUGGGCCUGCUGUGACUUCACCUCCAGCCCUGUUUGGGACUCCACCAUCAAAGCAUCUCUGAACAGCUUGCUUUCUGCAAUAGUUGAAGAACGAGUAGCGUGUGGAUGGCUGAGAGGUGGAUAAGUGGGGGAUCGAAUCAAGCCCAGAUGUCAGUCAGUCUCCCCCCGACCCAAGCUGAGGGCUGGGACAGAACUCAGGGGAAGAGUCUCCAGUCGGGGGGUGGUUCCCGGGAGCUGAACAUAAACAGCCCCGGUGCUGACUGCCCACCAGGCAUGGCUGCACUUGUGUCCGCCCCACUGCAGGAGUGUCUGCAGAGGCAGCUGGAGCCCAAAGUGGUCUUUUGUCUCCCCUCUCUCUGAAGUCAUCCCAGGACACAGGUGUGCAUCCCCCCCAGCCAGCCGACAGAGAAGAUGAAUCAGCUUCCCUGAAAGACGUGCCCCAGAGCAGUCUGUCAGCUGAAACUUGUCUGAAGGAGCACGCUUCCCUCCUGACCACAGCUAAUGAAAAUGUGUGGCUUGCCCGGGGAAGAAUCUAUGCUAUUCUUUAAAGGAACAAUGCGAACCACAGAUGUACAGCAUCUGGCAUACGAUAGGGAUUUCCCUGAAUGAGAACGGUAACUGGACCAGCCAGCUUAUGAGAUGCCUUUGGGUCCAGGCUUGUAUUUUCCUCCUUUUGGCUCUGGAUUUGGGUUCUCAGAAGUUCAGGUGAAGCCCAAGUCACUAUCACUUAGUGUUUUUCAUUAUAUGCGCCCCCCUCCUCAUUUAUCUUCUAUGGUCUUGAUGAAUAUGCUUGAGAUGCCCCCAAACCUAUAUCCCUGCCUCUAAGUCUUUGCUCAUGUCAUUCUCCAUUUCUGUACAGCCUCCCCUUUUUUUUAUGACCAUCUAAUUUGUCAGGACUCUUUCCAUGGAGGUUAAGUGAAGCCCAAUCCAACUUGCUUGAAGCAAAAAACUACAUUUAUUGAAUAACGUAACUUAAAAUCCAGGACCACUUGACUUCAAAGAUAGGUACACCUGGAUCUAGGCAUUCAAAUGAGUUUUCCAGGACCUGGUCUUAGUCUAUUUCUUCAGGUCUAGACUCUGUCUUUUACAUUGGCCCGAGUUUCAGGUAGGCACUGAAUGGGCUCCAGUCUUGCAUGUUACCAUGUUAACUCCCGCGUGGAAAAAGUGAUCCUGGGGAUAGGCCUGAUUGGACCACUUGGGACACAUUCAUGUUUGCCCAAGAAGUAAUCACUGUAAUCGGGGCGAUGGGAUUCCUGUUAUUGUCCAGGCCUGUGUCCCUUGCUCAGCCCUAAGGCUAGGGAGUUUGGUCUUCACCCAGAGGAAAUCAGGAUCCUAUCAUAAGAAUAAGGUUGAAUGGAUGUAGGACAAGUAACAUCAGUAGACACACAACCCAUAGCUUGCUUUUCAAGCUCAAGUUCAUCCCAGGCCACAUUCCCCUCUCUUGCCCCUGCAACACUUUUACAGUUGAAUAUGGGAUUGUGUAUGCCUCCCAGCUUCUCCCGCUGGGACUAGAGGGCAUUCCUGGUAAUAGAAGACAUGGGGUGGGGUGUGGGUAGUACAUGGAGGGCAGGAAUCACAUUGUGUUUCCUUUCCUUGUUUGAAACCCUGUGAAAUCAAAUGGAGACGAGGCAGCUUUGAAUCAGGGGGAAAUAGUUAUAGCAGUUAUUAGUUUGGAGCAGGGAAGAAACGGGCCUUAGUGACAAGGACUGGGGCCAGUUCUACCUGUAUGUAUGAGUGCUUCUCCAUCUCAGGCCCCCCAGUGGCUGCCUCCAGGGUCAGAUGGGAUGCCAAGAUUUGCUGUGAUUUGGGGCCGGCCGAACACUUGUUGAGUCCGUGUGAAUCAUUGAGCUUUUGCCGGUCAGUGCCGUAUGCCUUCUAUUUUUCUUAUAUCACCCUGUGUAUCUAGUACUUUGGUGAGCACCUAACAAUUACCCGACGGGUUUUAUUGUGAAAUUGCGAUGUAGGUGCCAGUGCUCAAGGCUGGAAAUCAAAAGGUGUGGGUUGUAAUCAAGUCUCUUGACUUUUGCCGAGCUAAGUAGCCAUGCCAAGAGAGCACAGAGCAGGAUAACAGCUAUUUUUGUCUAGUGCUUCUGGUUCCCAAUACUUACAUUGCUGGCUCACUUACAAUGACCCUGUGAGAUAAUCCAAAUGCUAUGGGGUAAGCUUCAAGGUUAAGUCUAAGGCAAAAACUGGGUGUAAUCAAAAUUUCCCUGGAAACUCCUAUAAAUCAUCCAUAAAGUACAGUUUAAAAGGUUUUGUGAUUGUGACCAAAUACAGGAAUACUUGUGAAUUAUGUGGAAUGGAUAAACUAACAUAUUGCCUAUUAUUUAGGGAGAGAACAUUUCCCAAAGUGCAAUAUCAAAAUACAGCCAUUUAUGCAUCUAAUGCAGCAAGUUUUUCACAACCAGAAAGGGAGAGAAGAAUAGUUUCACAUCUUUGUUUUUAAGAUCAUCCUGGGACACGUGUGCAUUCAGUGGAUUAUCAAAUAGAAUCUUCUGGACUAUUUAAAUAAUUGUUUUUAUUUCCUUCUCUUUGUGUGAUGCAUUUCCCCAAUCUUAUUUGGUGAAACAUGUUGAUUAUAUAUUUAGAAAGUGUUAGGCAUUGGGCUGGGCCCAGGGAAGUCAAUGGUGAAUAAAAUAGGCAUGGUUUCUGGCCUAAUGGAGUUUAUAGCCUUUGCAGAUUGCUUCACACACGAAGAAACUGAAGCUCAGAGAGGUGACUGCCAAAGAUUUCUCGGGCCAGUAAGGAGCAGGGCUGGGAUCUGAACCCAGGUCUUCUGGCUUUAACCCUAAGUUUUUCCCAACUACUCCCCACUGGCUUCCAUGGUAACUGAAGUCACUCCCAAAGCCAAAGUCAGAGUCCUGGAGUUCAUUACAGCAGAAACAGACCAUUGCAACUGGCCACUUGCCUUGGCAGUUGGGAUCUGGAAUUGAGUUCAUAUUUGGUGUUGAAUCGUACCCUCCAGAAACGGGAUGGGUUGGAAUGGAAUGGUAAUGAAGGCUCUGUUUGCUCCAGAGGGCCCACUCCCUAUUCUGCCCACCAGCCAUCAUGGUUGACCACCCUGUUUAAGCCCCCUAUUGAUUACAGAGGGUUGAUUUCUUCUGAUGCAAGUGGCUAAGCCAAGGGCAGUUACAGCUGUGCCAUAGCCCCCCAAAUUACUGCCUUCCAGACAAAAUAUGUCAGGCAGCCUUCCCAAGAGCCCUUUCCAAGGACAAGGAGGCUGGUCCUGGACUUGCGCCUCCCUUGUUUGGUAUCCAGUGUGUGUAUGUUCCUUCUCCACAUGGACCCCAAAUGGCCUGAGAACCAAGGUGCCCCCUCUCCCAGAGUCCCAGCACCCCCUCCAACCCCCACAUCCCCAUGAGCCUCUCAGGCCCCAUCCAAGGAGCAGCCUUGAGGAUGCUACCAAUGGGACCCAUCGAAAGGCUGUGGUCUGCCCUGGCUCUCAGUUUGCUGACCCAGCCCCCCACCGGGGUUGUGGCGCCAGACCUGGGGCUCCUUCUCAACUGGAGCAACCAUUUGGGUGAGUUAAAGAGCAACCUUCAUACUGAAGACAGUGGUGACUCGGUUCCCAUUCCCUCAGCCAGGGCACAUUUGCCUCUUCAACUCCGUUUCACUGAGGGGAUGUCUACAGCGAGCACGGCCUCAGGUUAGAAUUAAUUCUUUUCUAUUGCUCCUGUCAGAAAGAUAAAAAUAAAGCAUUGAGCUCAAGGAAAGUUGGCUUCUCACACAGACUUGUGUGUGUAGUCUUUGGAGAAAUGUCACUAAUGGUGUUUUAAUAAUGCUUUAUGGGCCUAGAGACCAAUAAGAAGAAGAAGUUACUAUUUACCAAAGCGACUGCUAGCCCCUUAAUGACGGGCUAAGUAUCAGCUAUUGGCAGGAUAUGGAGUGGGUAAGUGCUGUGUAAUUACCAAGCAAAUUCAUCAUUAUUUCUGUCUUAUAAACCAGAAUAUGUGUUAAAUAAUACUUUGGGGCCACUGAAAGUAGUUACCAAGCCCCAUCUCUGUAAGAACAUGUCAUUAUCCUACAGUUGCCCUGUGUUUACUAAGCAAAUCUAUGCAAUUAUUAUCUAAAGCCCAAACCCUGCCCUCACAGCCACAAAAGUGCACCCGAGGGCAGGUCUGUGCGCAGAGGAGGAGCGGCAUGUGCAUGGGGUCAUGCAGGAUUGGGGCCUCCGCUCCCCAAAUUCCGGCUCUGCUCUCAUUCCUGCCCUGGGAAAAAGCCACAAGCAAGGCCUUAUGAAACACGUUGUUGUGUCUUCCCUUCUUCCCCACCCCACCCCAGCCCAGGCCCUGCUCUGGCCUCCCUGCUCUUCUGACCCGCCAGUCCCUACCGCGGGGGCCUGCUGGGACCUCAGCGUCUGGCUGCAGAGGGUUCAGUCCACCAGUUCCAGGCAGCGCUUUCGAAGGCUAACCUCAUGUCAGGAAUAGUGCUGGACUCCGAGGACAUGAAGAUCAACACGAGGAAACUGAGACUUGGGAAGCGAAGCAACCCACGCGAGCCCCUCCCGCUAUCAGGUGGCAGAGUGAGGGUUCAUCCUGAGAUGGUCCUCUGGCCCCGGGUCUCCCAGCCUCGUGCAUCUGCAAAUGGAAAGAAACCCUUCCCAGAGAGAGCUACUUCUUAUUGGGCCACAACUGGGUCACCCAAUUGCCUCUGGUUGCAAAGAAGGAAGCCUGGGAAGGGGAGCAUGGGAGAGGAAGAGCCUCUGCUCGUGAUGUCCUAAGCACUUAGUCAUUGCCUGAAGGCCUCUGUGUCAGACUGCUGUGUCCCGUCUGUGCAACCGGUCAUUCAGAUGAGAAAAUGGCCUGCAAGAGAGAGUAGACAAUGCAGUUGAAGUCACCUAAUUAAUAAGCAUAAGGUCUGGCACUGAAACCGAACACUGAUCGCACAAACACCUUGCUCUGUACAGAAGCUUUCUGGCCCGUUCCUUCCGGCGCUGAGUCUGUUGAGAGGCCCAGGGCAUCCGUGAGGUUUACCAAGCUGGCUUGGCCAGGGAGACACCUCACCCCACCUGUGUGCCACACCCUGGGAACGACCCCACCUGCUCAGGGCUGCAACUGACUCUGUAGAUUCCGUGUGCCUGUGUGUGUGUGUGUGUGUGUGUGUGUGCCAAGACAGAUAUGAAACCUUCAGUUGGGCAGAUAUGCAUCUCAGACUCGAAUCCGCCCCCGCCUCUCGCGCCCAACUCCCGGCUGCUCCCGGGGCCGAGGUGGGGCCGGCAGGGAGCCAGACAGGAGCGCGGUGUUCGCCGCCCAUCGGGUAUUGUCUGACACCUGAGUGGGAUUAAGGGGUGAGCCUUUGGGCUCCAGGGGACGCUCCCUCAGCUGGAAAUGACAAUGAAGUCAGCGAAUUAUCAGAACUUGAAGCGAGGGAGGGAAAUCUCACAGGUGUUUCUGAAGUCCGCGGGGGUCUGUGCGCAAAAACAGAUGCUGGUGGGAGCAGCGAGAAGCCGGAGCCAGGUCUCCCAAGCCAAAAACACUCAGGCUUCAAACAACUGCAAGGUCCCACUCACCCAGACCCCUCCUCGGCACCUUCUGUUCAGGGCCAGCCCCAGUCGAGUCACAGAUCCUUGCAGGGUUUCUGGGGGGCAUGCUGAUGAUAAUAAUGCUGAGGGGCAGUAUUUUCUGAGCCUUUACUAGUGCCCUGCUGAACGCUGUAUAUGCGCACAUCACAUCUGCUACAACAAACGUGUGUGGAAGUGAUAAUGCCACCCUUCUUACUAAGGAGGAAACAGACACUGUGCUUGUAUAGCUUGGUGGGUGUGUGGCUGGCUUCCACCCCAAAUUUCUCCCAUCUUCCACUAGCCAUGGCCCAAGGAUCCAGUGGGCAGUUAAUUGUGCCAGUGACUUGGCUAAGAGAAGGCACGCAAGCUUCACCACCACCCAGAUCUGGAUUCAGAUCCUAGCCUCACCCCAUGCUGGCUGUGACUCCUUGGACACGUUACCUUCUGCUCCUUGAGCUUCGGUUCCGGAUCUGUGGGAUGGGAAUGCCAGUACCAAUCUCUGACACUUGUGCAGAUUCCUGAGUGAACACGAGUGGUAGCUAGAAAUAUGAUUUUUUUUUCCCUAGGACAUUGACCUCUGUGAUCUAGUGCUUCGGUCUUUGAUCAUUAAUGCAGUCAUUUACCUGUCGAUUCAUUCAUCAAGCAUUUAUCGAGCACCCCUUACGUUAUAGAAAGCACGUUCUUUGCGGAAGAUGUGUUCCAUGUGCUGACCAGGUCUUUUGGUUAGGAAGGCUUAAGUCCACAUUAAGUUGGGUUAAACCCACCUACAGUGGUUUCACGAAAGAAGGCGUUAUUUCCCUCCCCUAACCAGAAGUUUGGAGGUGGGGAGUGUGAAGGAGGGUGCAGAAGUCACAAGAUUCCAUCAGGGCCCUAGAAUCCCUGUGGCAUUUUCCUCCACCAGCUCUGGUAAAGCUUUCAUCCUUGAGGUUGAGAGAUGGCUUCCCUGCCUAGGGUUCUUUGGCCACAUCCUAGGAAGAAGAAGGCACAUGUAACUUGUAUCAGAAAAACAACAACUUUUCUGGCGGUCCCCAACAGACUUCUGUUCAUAUGUCAUUGGCCAGAAUUGUAUCCCGUAGUCACCACUGGCUGCCAUCCCAAACGAAGUUGGGGUUCUAUUAGUCAAGAAAAGGGGAGCACAGUUGGUGGGAGGCAAGUAGUUGCAACCCCAGCUGAGAUGCUAUUGAAUGAUAAAAGUGCCUUUAAAGCAAGCGAGCAAGCCUAGGCAACUUGCCAAGCACAGUUGGUGCUUUUACUUAGGUUACUGGAUUUAAUCUCCCUAGAUUCUCACAACAACCAGGUGGAGGAGAUAUGUACACUCUCCCUUCUGUGCAUUUCCCACCCCGCUGACAGUGAGGACUCUAGGAAGGCCAGACCUUUGGUCCAGAGCAGGUGGGUGGGGCUAGCCCUGGCCCUUUCUUCCCUUUCUCCUUCUCUGCAGUGGUGUGGCUGGAGAAAGUACAGGUAAGAUCACGGGCUUUGGAGGUUGGCUGCCCAACUUCCAAUCCUGGCUCUGUACUCUUUGUAUGAUCUUGGCAUGUUUCUAACAGACAAUAGGAGUGGGGAUUUAAAUAAAUUACUACAUGAACAGAUCCUGACAAAAGAGAGCGCACUAUUAAUAUUAGUAAUUAUCUUGUCGGGGAGCAUGGAUUAUAUCCUACAGACAAUGUUGUAAGGCAGGGGUUGGCAAACCAUGGCCAGAGGGCCAACAACUUGUUUUUGUAAGUAAAGAUUUAUUGGAACACAUUUGUGCCCAUCCAUUGACAUGUCGUCUAAGGCUGUUUUCAUGUCAUAAUGGCAGAACCGAGUAGUUGCAAAUGAGGCCUUAGGCCCUACAAAGCCUAAAAUAUUUAGUUUCUGGCUCUUUACAAAAGAAGCUUGCUAAGCCCUAUUAUAGUGAAACAUGCAGUGCCACUUUAACUUUGGGACUCAAAAAGACCAAGAGUCAAAAUUCCUUUUUUUCUGCUUACUAUCUGUAUAUACUUGAGCAAGUAACAACUUUUUAGAAGAACUUUUUUAGUUUCUUCAACUACAAAAUCAGGAAUGGAAAUGUCUUCUUUCAAAGGAUACCUUAAGAUUCGGUGCAACAGAGAGGAGUACCUGGUUUUCAGUUGGUGCUUAAUAAAUAGAACCUUAUUUUCAUUUUUGUGGAAGGAUUUCAAGCAGAGAUUGGUGUCAUCAGAUGUGCAUUUAGACAAAAAGCUUUUGAGGCUGUAUGAGUUUGCUAGGAUAGGUAUAGUAAAACCCUGGACUGCAAAUAACUUGUUCUGCGAGUGUUCCGCAAGGCAAGCAAAUAUUUCUAAUAAAUUUUGUCUUGAUAAACGAGCGACGUCUUGCAAUACGAGUAGUAUGUGAUGUCAAACAUCACGUGAUCACAGCUGCGUCAAUGGGUCUUCUCUCUCUCUCUCUCUCUCUCUCACUGCAGGACUGUGGGUGAUUGUCAAUGCAAUGUCAUAUUUCUGUGAAAUCCUCAAAAGGAGGCAAAAGCAAGUGUCGUUGGAUAGGUUCCUUGUUAAAGUUGCACGAAAAGAAAAAGAUUUCUCUGAGCCAAUAGACAGCAGUGAUUCCAUUAGUGAUAGUGAAAGUGAUCCUACAAAAUAACCCUCCUCUCUCUUGUCUCCCUCAUACCAGCCAUGAAGAUAUUCAAAGACAAGUGUAGGUUAAUUUAUUUUUCUUUAGAUUUUGUAUUUUCUUUAUUAUUUUGUAUUAUAUUACAACAUUGUAAGCAUUUUUAUAUAUUUUAUAUUUUUGGGUUGUGGAAUGAGUCAUCUGAGCUUCUAUGAUUUCUUAUGGGGGAAAUUAGGUUUGAUAUAGAAGUGCUUUGGAUUGCAAGGAUGUUUCUGGAACAAAUUAUGCUCGCAAACCAAGGUCUUACUGUACCACAAACUGGGUGCCUUAAACAAAAGAAAGCUAUCUCACAAUUCUGGAGGCUGGGAUCCAGGUGUCUGCAGGGUUGGUCGCUUCUGAGGACUAUGGGGGGAGAAUCUGUUCUAUGCCUCUCCCCUAGAUGUAGGUAGUUUGCUGGCAAUCUUUGGUGUUCCCUGACUUGUAGACACAUCACCCCUCUCUUUGCCACCUUCUUCGUGUGGCAUUCUCCCUGUGUGCAUGUCUGACUCUGUCCAGUUUGCUUCUUUUCAUAAGGAUGCAGUCAUAGUGGAUUAGGACCCAUCUCAGGGACCUCAUCUUAAACUUUAUCAUCUGCAAAGACCCUAUUUCUAAAUAAGGUCAUGUUCACAAGUAAUGGGGGUUAGGACUCCAAGACCUUUUGGGGGGACACAAUUCAACCCAUUACAGAGGGACUGUUUUGGUAUGGGCAAAAGUGAUGGCAGGACAACCAUAAGAAGGCUCUUUAGAUGACCAAGUAAGUCAGAGGUGGUCAGAUGAGAAAAUGACAAGGAUUGGAAAAGCAUCAGGAAUUAGGGGCAAGAUAGAACUUGGUGACUAUGGAGGGGAAGAGGAGUUGACAAUGACAUUGAGACUUCUUACUUGACCAGUGGUUGAAUAGAUGAAGUGUUUAAUAAAAUUGGGAGGAGACACUUGUUUGGAAAAUAUAAUGCGUCCCUUAAACAGGAGUGUGGUUAUAUGGAGACAAGAGAAGGAAAUCCAAUGGAAAGGGCUGUGGGCAAAAGAACAGAACAUUUACUGAACAUGUAGUAUGGCAUCUAUGAUUCUGGGAUAACAAAUAGUAACUUAACAAGGGAAGGCGUGAUUAAUAACUCUUAAUGGCAAUGUGAAAUCACCCGGAACUGGAGUGGACAGGCUUGGGGGAGGAAUGGAUGUCAGGAGACUGGUUGGAUGUCUUCUGACAUCAUGUCCCUGAACUUCUGUUUAAUAACCAUAUUUAGGCAUUAGUCUUACUUCCUUCCAACAGCUGUCAUUCUAUACUUGUCAGGAACUGCCCUCAAUCCUGCCCAAAUGCUUCCUGUUCUGCCAGGUGAUCACACCUGCUGGAAUCAGGCCAGCCCCACGUGUUGAUUGGUUCCUGCCCAGGCAGAAAAUGCAUCAGAAGCUUCCUGGUUAGGGAACACAAUUUUUUUUUCUUAAAAAAAAAAAAAAAAAAAAAAGCCCAAUCUCUCAUUUCUCAGCAUCCCUGUCUGUAUAAUUGGGAUAAAAAUCUCCACCACACAGAGUAAUAGGCAGGAUUAAAUGAGACGAUGCGGGCAAAACCCAAGCACAGAGCCGGGCACGCUGUAAGUGUUGAAUGCACAUUUGCUUUCUUUAUUGUUAUUUCUGGUGCUUCCAGUCUGUUCUUGUUGCUCUGGGUACUGUUUUCACACUGCUACCAGAAAGAUCUUCCUUAAAACUCAGUCUAAAGGAUUGGUUUUUUCUGUGUUUGUUUUCCAGUACCUAAGGAAUAAGAUCCAAUGAACUCAGGGUGGUCAUCCCCCUCCCUCUCUAACCUCAUCACCCACUGCUGGGCAUCUCCUGAGACCCUCUGCUCCAUCCCCAUAAGACAUUUGACUCUCCCAUGAUUACAUCAAGCUUUGUCACCUCCCCGUGUCCUUUCCUACUCUCCUCUGUUUCCCUUCCCUGGUCACUCCUAGACAUCCUUAGAGACUCAGACCAACUAUGGCCCCUCAACUCUCAAGGUCACCUUCAUCCACUCCUAGGCAAUGUGAUAUUCUCCACUUCAAAACUCUUUGUCCUCAUUAUUGAAAUAGCCCUAACCACAUGGUUUGUAAUGACCUGGUUGCCUUUCUGAAACUGGCAACAUGCCUGCAAGAUGGAUGGUAUUUUCGCUUGGUAAGCCCUCGAGAUUUUUUGCGAUCAAUGCAGGUGUAUACAGAUGCUUUCUGUUGAGAGCACUUCUGUUCAAUCUUUCAUCUGGGAGCUCAUAAAAUUUAGCUAUAUUGGCAACUAAAACACACACCCAAUCUGCCUUCAUGGGACCCACAAUCUGAUUUCUUGUCCAUCUCUCAGAUGAUUCAAAACAAAAAGGAUUUUCCAUUUUUGCUUCUGGGAGUCUGUAUUAUCAAAAUGAUAGUUUCCCUUUUCGCUUUCCAAACAUGAAACUGCCUUAUAAUAUUGAAUUUAUUUUUCCAAACUACAGACGCCACCCUAGAGCUGUACGCUUUCCUUCUUCACUCACGUGCUCUUGUUUAAUUUCAGUUUUUACAAACCUAAGUCAAAUUAGGUCUAUAAUUAAAAACAAAACAAAACAAACUGAUACCCUGUCUCACUCCUCCACCUGAAACCCCUUCCUUACACUCCACCCCCCCCCCCGAUCAUUUCAUAUUGUUUUUCUAAAUUUAUGUUUAUGCUGCUAUCCUUGACUUUUUCGGAUGUCAUUUUUGGAUAUCAUCUUGACUUUAUGGCAAGGAGGUGAAGAUUCAGCAUUCCUUCAGCAUCAUAUGCUUUCAUUUGCCCUUACUCCUUCCUCUCAAUACAGUUACAGGAUAAUGCAUGCUAACUAAAUAAAUAAUCAGUGUUUAGAUGUUUGGCAGCCAUGAAACUCAGCUCCCAACCCACCUUUGGAUACUCUGCUGUGCGAUGCUGGCCCUGGGACUUUGCAAAGCACAUUGUCUCCCUUUCCAGCUGGUAAGGGAAGGACAGCACCAGCCAGCCCACCCUCUUGGCCCAGCUCUGUGGAGGGUUUCUUCUGAUCUUCUUGCUUCUGUAAGACCAACCACUUUUGCACUCAUGAUUUGAGAGGCCACCUUUACCACACACUAGAUUGCCAAAUGUACUUGGGUCUAUUUCUGGGUUUCCAACUGUAUUCCAUUUGUUGAUUCGUGUGUCGGUCCUGUGUUGUUUUCAUUACCCUGGCUUUAAAGUGUGUUUCAACAUUUGGUAGGGCUAGUUCCCCCUGACGUUUUCCUUUUCUAGUGUUUCCUGGCUCUUCUUCCAUGCUUGUUUUUCCAUGGGAACUUUUCUAGUCCUACAGGUGUGGGUGAUUCCGAUAAGGUCAGCAACGAAGAAUGACAACUUUCUGAGCGAGUUCACUGCACUAUUCCAACCAGAGGCACACGAUAGAAGCCUCUCUUUAUCAUGAAAGCUACUCAUCAGUGGAUUUACAUGACUGGUGGUCUAGCUGUCCUAUCCCACUGUGCGGGGGGUCUGUGGCAAACAACUCACAAAGGCAAUGCUAGCUUGGGGAAAAUAUGACUUUUAACUGUAAAUCACAGCCCUUUGGCAAGGAAAGGCGCCGAUAACUUUAAAUGGCUAUUGCAAUCUCAAAACAAAUGGGGUAAGCCUUUAGCCAAAAAGUCACAUUCAGGUUCAGCGAGCAAGUUACUUAGUAGCAGAACUUACUGCCUCCUUCUCCCCCAGGAAAAGUCACACAAUUGGUGAAAACCUAACAAUGCUAGUCAGAUUCAAAUGAGCAAAAUGGUAAGGUAAGGUGUAGGAGGAGAAAUGGAAAAGGCUCUACUUUCAACCCAUUUAAUUAGUCAGUGCACCUAUAGCCUGUCAUGUGAUGAUGAAGAGGUUAGUGUAAUAAACUGAAAAACAAUAGCUUCUCUAUCCAAGCUCAUGAGUCAACAGAUUUCACCCGUAAAUGUCAUGAUGCAGCAUUUGCAAGAUUUGUAAAUGAUGAUGAAAUUCAAGGAAAUUUUUUUUUGCUACCAGAAAAAAUUAUCUGAAACAAGCAAAACCCAUCUGUAUUUCAUAUUUUGUCUUUGUAUCUAGAAACAGAAAGUCUGUCUCGGAGGGAUGGGGUCGGUGGCCCAUCAUUGGUUGUGUUCGUGGCAGGUUUCAACACACAGAGAUUUGGUGCCUUGGCAGAGAGAGAGUUCACAACACGUGUUUGAGCUGGAAAGGGAGAGUCAGGGGGACUCUCAAGAAAGCGGUCGGCCGGAUUCGUUGGGAACUUUGGAGGUGACGAAUGGUCAGAAAUGAGACUACCUAGAAGAUAGCUGUCAUUACGUGGGCCAUGGGAAGACGUCUCAGGAAGGCCUGAGGAGGGCUGUUUUGACUUCAAGUGGCAAGAUUCUUAGGAAGAAUCCUUUGCAAAAGGAAAUCUGGACACAUUUCCAGCGCUGCUUGGGCUUGUGCAAGAGGAAAGAUAUCAGCACCCCUCAAAUCUCAGCAUAAACCACCUCAAGACCUGCGGGACCAAACUGAACAGUAUUUCCUCUCUUUCAACGCAUGUGUAUGAGAGGGCGAGAGGCCCUUUUUUUUCUGAUCUUCUGCUCAGCCCAAGCACUUGGCUUUGAGAAAAGAGGAAGACCUCUGUGAGGGGCAGAUCGUACACUCAAGAUGAGGUUUCCUGAUCUGCCCCUCCCGAGUUCUGGCUUCUGGGACGAGAAGUGUCUGGCCUUGCAUGGGAAAGCAAGGGCCCCUUUGCUGCAAUUUGCAGCUGCCUACAAGUGUGACCGAGUUUUUCCUCAUUUAACAUUCAUCAAAAGCAGGGACAGAAAUGGUCUCACUUCAGCUGGGAAUAAAAUCUGUGUGCUUAUCACAAGUUUGACCAAGAACUGAGUAUUUUUGCACUGAGAACAAUAACACACAGAUCACAUUUCAAAGGUGAAUUUUAUUUUUAAUUUCCAACAUAAAAUUUAUUAUGCACACAGAGGCCUGAAAGAAAUCAAGAAACAAACAUGUGUAUAAUUAUUUUGGAACAGCUAGGUCUAUAGUUAAGUCUGUUUUGUGUUGGUAAAAAAAAAAAUGGGUUUUCAAAUUCUUGUAUACUUUGUCUUAGGCUAUAUUUUUAUUCAUAUUACUUUGGUUCAUAAUUUCCAUACCUUUCCUACUCAACAGUGUCAAUAUAUUUUCAUGUUUUAAAUGGUACUUAUCCAACUAAUUUACAACCCUUAUUUAGAUUAAAUACGUAGGGGCGCCUGAGUGGCUUGGUCGGUUAAGCAUCCGACUUCAGCUCAGGUCAUGAUCUCCCAGUUUGUGAGUUCGAGCUCCACGUCGGGCUCUGUUCUGACAGCUCAGAGCCUGGAGCCUGCUU